Molecule: ribosomal RNA, 490 nt
Filed under: uncultured bacterium
Lineage: Bacteria
Description: partial 16S ribosomal RNA
Rfam family: Bacterial small subunit ribosomal RNA
Source: RNAcentral
GAUGAACGCUAGCGGCAGGCCUAAUACAUGCAAGUCGAACGGGAUCCAGAUCAAAGCUUGCUUUGGUUUGGUGAGAGUGGCGCACGGGUGCGUAACGCGUGAGCAACCUACCCUUGUCAGGGGGAUAGCCCGGCGAAAGUCGGAUUAAUACCGCAUGACAUCAUUGAGAGGCAUCUUUCGAUGAUCAAAGAUUUAUCGGACAAGGAUGGGCUCGCGUGACAUUAGCUAGUUGGUAAGGUAACGGCUUACCAAGGCUACGAUGUCUAGGGGCUCUGAGAGGAGAAUCCCCCACACUGGUACUGAGACACGGACCAGACUCCUACGGGAGGCAGCAGUAAGGAAUAUGGGUAAAUGGACGGAAGUCUGAACCAGCCAUGCCGCGUGCAGGAAGACGGCCCUAUGGGUUGUAAACUGCUUUUAUACGGGAACAAACGUCGGUACGUGUACCGGUCUGAGUGUACCGUAAGAAUAAGGAUCGGCUAACUCCGUG